AACCUUAUUAGGCGAUUCUAGCUUCCAAAAACAGUAGUUACCAGUAUCUUUACUUUCUGUCUGUUGUCCGUUCCUUUUCUAGCCCCCCUUCCAGGCAAAAACUCCUUUAAUCUGGUUCCCUCUGCCGUUUCCUCUCCAACGCUCGUCUGACGAACUCAGGCAACCCUUCCUCAAGUCACCACUGAAUCGACCCCCAGUUGCAACCCCAACAUUACUGCCUGCAGGCACGGGCCUCCACUGCAAACAAGGUAGGGACCCCUUAAUGUAAAACCAUCUUCAAGGCCAGAAUCUCGCCCGAAACGUUUCUGGUCACGACACCUUUUCCAGAUCUGAUUUGAAUCAGAUUGAAAGCUGCAUCGAAGUUAACCUUCACUUCUGCGUCGAAUGGGGGACUCCACAUCGCAAAAACAUUAGAUCUGGAAUGUGAUUUCUCCUCUAUCGUAUCAAGUUCAUACAAACAGCUUGUAGUCCAAUCUGCAAUAUCUUUACUAGAAAGCUUUUUCCCUUCAUACACUGAUUGAUUCCUGUUAAACCAAAUACCCCAAAGACCACAAUAGAACACCUUGUACUGCUCGUUAGCACUACUUAUGAAAAUGCAGGGCUUACCCGCAAGAUAUGUUCGAUUGACUCCAUUGCUCCAAGACAUUUGGGACACAAGUAAUUUGCAGCUACCCUUUUGUAGUUUAGAUUGAGUAACAUAGGAAGGAAAUUCCACAAAGCUCUCCAAACUAUAAUUUUAAUUUUUGAAGGGUUUAAGGCCCUGUUGUGUAUAAUUUUCAUUAGCGGGUAGUAUACCCUAUUGUAAUAGUUUGUAGGCACUCCUUAUAGAGAAUUCAGCUGAUGGCUCACCCCUCUAAA
Gossypium arboreum is the source of this 858-nucleotide long non-coding RNA. RefSeq lists it as uncharacterized. Lineage: Eukaryota; Viridiplantae; Streptophyta; Magnoliopsida; Malvales; Malvaceae. The record is from RefSeq and is a predicted model, not a curated record. The transcript has 3 exons.